UUAAGACAGACCUGCCUGGUUUAACAAGAUGAGUUGUGAGAAUUCUUCCUACUCACCUUUGGGAGAUAAUGUGGGGACUGAGAAUAACUUGGACCAUUCUUCCUAUCUUCCAAAGUCCUCCUCAAUUUUCAGGACAAAGCUAUUUUACUGUUCAAGAUGGACUUCUUAGUGAAAUGCAUUUAUUGACUCUGCAUGAUUGCUUUGCAUGUGAUGUGGUCCUCCAAGUCCCCUCAUCUGCUCUCGUGGUGUCCAGCUUUCCGACAUUGUGGACAAUGCUGCAAAACCUUUCUGGUAGCCUUGGAAAUAAAGAUCGUUACAGUUAGGGAAGAGAAGUCCCACAGCAUUUGCUGUAUGGAAAAGCUCUGGAACUAGAGAGUAUGGAUUUGACAAAGCACUGCAAGUGGUCUUUGGGCUACUGAAUUUCACACUUUAAAAUGAUUAAAACAGAAAACUGUG
Long non-coding RNA from Cavia porcellus (domestic guinea pig), 456 nucleotides. RefSeq lists it as uncharacterized. NCBI's taxonomy places the organism in Eukaryota, Metazoa, Chordata, Mammalia, Rodentia, Caviidae. The transcript has 3 exons. The record is from RefSeq and is a predicted model, not a curated record.